RNAcentral lists this ribosomal RNA (906 nucleotides) under Mycobacterium sp. Its description in RNAcentral is "bacterial SSU rRNA". It matches the Rfam family "Bacterial small subunit ribosomal RNA", at positions 521 to 1424 of the family's 1533-position model. The record is from RNAcentral. Lineage: Bacteria; Bacillati; Actinomycetota; Actinomycetes; Mycobacteriales; Mycobacteriaceae.
UAAUACGUAGGGUCCGAGCGUUGUCCGGAAUUACUGGGCGUAAAGAGCUCGUAGGUGGUUUGUCGCGUUGUUCGUGAAAACUCACAACUCAAUUGUGGGCGUGCGGGCGAUACGGGCAGACUUGAGUACUGCAGGGGAGACUGGAAUUCCUGGUGUAGCGGUGGAAUGCGCAGAUAUCAGGAGGAACACCGGUGGCGAAGGCGGGUCUCUGGGCAGUAACUGACGCUGAGGAGCGAAAGCGUGGGGAGCGAACAGGAUUAGAUACCCUGGUAGUCCACGCCGUAAACGGUGGGUACUAGGUGUGGGUUUCCUUCCUUGGGAUCCGUGCCGUAGCUAACGCAUUAAGUACCCCGCCUGGGGAGUACGGCCGCAAGGCUAAAACUCAAAGAAAUUGACGGGGGCCCGCACAAGCGGCGGAGCAUGUGGAUUAAUUCGAUGCAACGCGAAGAACCUUACCUGGGUUUGACAUGCACAGGACGUGCCUAGAGAUAGGUAUUCCCUUGUGGCCUGUGUGCAGGUGGUGCAUGGCUGUCGUCAGCUCGUGUCGUGAGAUGUUGGGUUAAGUCCCGCAACGAGCGCAACCCUCGUCCUAUGUUGCCAGCGGGUUAUGCCGGGGACUCGUAGGAGACUGCCGGGGUCAACUCGGAGGAAGGUGGGGAUGACGUCAAGUCAUCAUGCCCCUUAUGUCCAGGGCUUCACACAUGCUACAAUGGCCGGUACAAAGGGCUGCGAUGCCGUAAGGUGGAGCGAAUCCUUUCAAAGCCGGUCUCAGUUCGGAUUGGGGUCUGCAACUCGACCCCAUGAAGUCGGAGUCGCUAGUAAUCGCAGAUCAGCAACGCUGCGGUGAAUACGUUCCCGGGCCUUGUACACACCGCCCGUCACGUCAUGAAAGUCGGUAACACCCGA